UGAGUGUGAAAGACUGUGUGUGUGUGUGUGUGUGUGUGUGUGUGUGUGUGUGUGUGAGAGAGAGAGAGAGAGACACACACACUGAGUGUGUGUGUGUGUGUGAGAGAGAGACGCAUGCUGGCCCUUUAAGUAUGCUGCCCGUUUAAGUAGAUUGGCACUCACCAGUCUGAAGCCUGUUUGUUCAGACAGAGAAGCAGCUGCCAGCAAGCUCUGUCCCACUCCUGAACCCUGUCGUGUCCCCUCCCUUGCUCUAUGGAGAUGGGGUACAGGGGUGGGGGAGGGGGACAUCCUGACAUCAGUGCCCCCUUCUCUCUUCCCCCCUCCCCCGCCUCUGCUCUGCACAGCAAGCAGGAGGCUCUCAGGAGCAGCUGGCCAAGGGCUCCAAGGCAGAGGGAAGGAGUAGCGCGGCAGUGGGGGGAGGGGUACCUGAAGUGCAAGACACUGGAUAGACUGCUGGGUGGCCACAUAGCUUAGAGGGAACUUAGGUCCUAGGUAGAGCACUAUAAUACUCAUCCUAGACAUGACAAAGGUAUAAAUAACUGUGGGAAGGGAUCUAAGGAAAAAGGUCAGACUCACUUAGCUAGUUGCAGAUUGAAAAAACAAAUACUCUUGACCACAGUUGCUGAGUGUCUAGGAGGAAGGUGAGGGACCAAAACAGCUGCCUGAAUUGCAGACCAUAUUGAGAAUGAGCGAAUGUGGCCCCUCUCAAGAGAAGGGAGCAGACAUGAUCCUACUUAAAGCCCUUCACAGGCUUCCCUGGAUGAUGACAACAUCCUCCUCCUCACAUGUUACCAUCUUUUUUUCCUCAAUCUGACAUAAAAAGGCCACUUUUCACAGAGGCCUGUUUUCUUCUGUUUUCUUACAGCAGUCUGCAUGCUAAUGUUAGAGCUCUCCAUGUAAAUCUCCUGCAGGUCAAAUGGAGGUUAACACCAGCUAUUUGAGUUGCUAUAUAUAAAAAAUGGUUUUCUAAUAGUUGAUUAAUAACCUUGUUAGUGUCUUUUCUUUUGGCUCUGUGCUAUUUACUAAGUUCGGACCAGUUGCCAUACUCUUUAUUCUAGCAGUUUAGGAUAAAGUUUCAUGGCAUCUCUAUAUAGUAUUUAAAGAUUUUUUUGAGUGAUUGAGAAAUAAAUAUUCACAAUGAGAUGAUGAAAGGAAUUCUAGAAUUCACAAUCCUGAACUAGCUGUAGUCUGACAUUCUGUCAGCUAUUCCUAAGGGAUAGCUGCUGGAUGUUUUUAGAAAGUGCAUUAUUACUCCAUGCAAUCUUUCAAACUCCUCCUGCUCUUCAUUUUUAUUUUUUAUAUAUUUGCACUUGGCAUUGUCCAUCUUACUAAACCGGCUCACUUUUUACACUUCAUCUGCUGUGUGUCACGAGUGACACUUCAAAUUUGACAUAUCCAAAAAACCUGCCUAAAAACAACAUUGAAGUUUUGAGCUAAAUAAACAAAUACAAGGCCAUCCUGUCACUUUUAUUUUUAACAUGCCUUGUUCUGCCGACAUUUUGCAGGAUGAUACCCCAAACAUGACAAUGACCUGACACUCCUGCUAUGCCUAGGCUAGUGGAAUAACUUGUAUUGGAAGUUUUAACCUUAGCUCCAAAUGUAAUAGCCUGGUCAGUGGAGCAUCAGAUGCAGAAUGCUACUGAGAUUUUUUUCUUAAAUCUCUGCUUGCAGAGUAAUAUAUUAACAUGGUAAGUAAAUUGCUCCUGGGAUUGUGCAUUAGUUUACUUUUAAAUAUCAACUACAAAUUUUCACUUCAAAUGUGUUUUUGUUAGCAUAAAAGGAAAAGUAGCUUCCCUUAGUACUGGAGCAAAUAGCACUGGAAAAUACAGCAGGAAACAAGAGGUGAAAGAAGCAUACAAAAGUGAGCUAUUGCUAUAGCUAGAGUUACCCUCUCUCCUGCCCUAAUUUACUUAAAAUGUUGCCAAAAGUCAAUCCUGAACUGGUUGGCUGAUUUUCUUUUGAUGGAGGUGUAGGCUACACCAUACCUGCAGUUCAAGCGCUGGAGUCCUACCUGAAAAAUCACUGAUAUCUUACCCAGAGUUGAUCUCUUUUGCUACACCAGCAUUAUAAGAGGUGAAUAUGGCCAACAUUAAUCAAAGCUGUAAGUAAGGUACUUUAGCUUCUCACCCUCUCAAAUGGGAUUAGUGUUAUCUGCCCUUAUGGGUCCCCCUUUUGAUCUGUUAGCCUCCUGCUUGUGGUCUUUUUAGUGACCAUCACCUCCAUGAGGAGAGUAGGUGAGCUGCAUGUCCAUGAUCCUCCAUAUACUGUUUUGUUAAGGACGAGGUAUAGCUUAGGCCACAGUUUCUCUCCAAAGGAGUAUAUGUCUUCCAUCUCAGUCAGUAUGUUUACUGGUUUUCUUUCCAAAGCCACAAGCUUGUAAGGACGAACCAAAGCUCUACAUUCUGGAUGUUCUGGCUUUUUCUCUAGAUAGAAUGAAGCCCUUUCAGAUCUCUUCUCAACUAUUAGUCUCCUGUGCAAAACAAUGAUUGUCCAAGUGGAUCAUCAGCUCUGUUGUCAUGUGCUACAACACUAAGGUUGCCACCGCUCAAGAAACACCAUCUGUGCUUUCAACCAGAGCACGCAACAUCCACAACAUUUGUAGGAAACAUCCCUAUUGUGGACACGUGUAGAGCAGCAAUGUGAUCGAGACAUUGUGAUUGCCACCGGGUCAAGGGAAGAUACUAAUGUAGGGAAUGCAGUCCUGCAGUCCCUCUUCCAGUGAGAUUCCUAGCCCCACCUCCAGUGGAAACUGCACGGGAGUCGCCUAGUUUAAUGGACAUAUGUAACCACUCAAAGAAGCAAGAACCGUUACUCACCUCUCAUAACUCUUGUUCUUCAAGAUGCAUUGCAUGUCCAUUAUAGAGCUCACCCUGCUUCCCCAAACUUCCAGAUGUUUAAUCUAAGGGUCGGGUAUGAAGGAAGUGAAGGGUGGGCAGCAUGGCUCUGCCCUUUAGACCCUCGGCUUGGAGCAUGAGGGCACCAGGCAGAGGCAUGGCCCCUAUGGAUACCGCUAGGGAAAACUCGUCAGCACCGGUGCACGGGAUGCCCACACAUGUAGUGUAAUGAACAUAUACACCACAUCACGAAGAACAAUAGUUAUGAGAGGUGAGUAAUCAUUCUUUCCUGGUAUUGCCCUCUUUCCUUCUCUCACUCUCUUUUUUCAUAUGAGCAGUAAGAAUGUUACUGAUAUAAUCUUUUCCCUCUAAUUGAUUGAUGCUUAAAGUGCUUCUAGCAUUUUCUAGACCUAAUAUGAAUAGUUUUAUUAUUAAAUAUAACUAGAUGACGGUAUUUACAAAAUGCAGGGAUGGGUGUAGUGGUUUGCUGAAAUGAAACUGCACUGUCUCCAACACCUGAAAGCAUUUUUGAGCGAUAGUUCUCCAGGUAUGCUUGAGGUUUGGAGACCUGCUGGCACCUAGCCAAAGGAUUUUGUGUAUAUGUUGAUGAAUUUUAGGUUAUUUUAAUAUUAUUGUGUUAAUUAACAAGAACUCAAAGCUGAUAAAUUUCCAAGCUGUUCUGAAAGAUUUUCUCCCCUGGCAGAAAUAAAAUGUUUGACAAAA
Long non-coding RNA from Chelonia mydas (Green sea turtle), 3557 nucleotides. RefSeq lists it as uncharacterized. NCBI's taxonomy places the organism in Eukaryota, Metazoa, Chordata, Testudines, Cheloniidae. The transcript is spliced from 2 exons. The record is from RefSeq and is a predicted model, not a curated record.